AUGAAGUUGGAUUCGCUAGUAAUCGCGCAUCAGCCAUGGCGCGGUGAAUACGUUCCCGGGCCUUGUACACACCGCCCGUCAAGCCAUGGGAGCUGGGGGUGCCUGAAGUUCGUGACCGCAAGGAUCGACCUAGGGCAAAACCGGUGACUGGGGCUAAGUCGUAACAAGGUAUC
This 173-nucleotide ribosomal RNA is filed under the name uncultured bacterium. RNAcentral's name for it is "partial 16S ribosomal RNA". It matches the Rfam family "Bacterial small subunit ribosomal RNA", at positions 1320 to 1500 of the family's 1533-position model. The record is from RNAcentral.